UGUGCCUACGGGAGGCAGCAGUGAGGAAUAUUGGUCAAUGGGCGGUAGCCUGAACCAGCCAAGUAGCGUGAAGGAUGAAGGUUGUAUGGAUUGUAAACUUCUUUUAUAAAGGAAUAAAGUGAGGCACGUGUGCCUUUUUGUAUGUACUUUAUGAAUAAGGAUCGGCUAAAUCCGUGCCAGCAGCCGCGGUAAUACGGAGGGUCCGCGCGUUAUCCGGAUUUAUUGGGUUUAAAGGGAGCGUAGAUGGGUUGUUAAGUCAG
Molecule: ribosomal RNA, 260 nt
Filed under: uncultured bacterium
Lineage: Bacteria
Description: partial 16S ribosomal RNA
Rfam family: Bacterial small subunit ribosomal RNA
Source: RNAcentral